Sarcophilus harrisii (Tasmanian devil) is the source of this 1058-nucleotide long non-coding RNA. NCBI's taxonomy places the organism in Eukaryota, Metazoa, Chordata, Mammalia, Dasyuromorphia, Dasyuridae. The record is from Ensembl.
CUGCUGGGCUCCCCCCCUCUCUAGCCUCCCAGGCCAACAUUGAGAGAACCUGUUACAAGUGACUCUGUUGGUUCUCCAGAUACUUUCUUCAGGAUCCAGAGCUUGGUUUCAACCUUGAACCCAAAGGAAAAGAUAGAGAAAGUGUCUCUGCAGAAUUCUUCUAAGGAACAGAAAAUACAUAUGGCUGUCUGGUGGACCUAACUAUAAACAUUGCCAUCACAUAAAUGAGAAGAAUUUUACAUGGAUAGAUGCUACUGGAAAUGUCAAUCAAGCCGACCAAUGCAGUGACAAAGAAAGAAAAGGAAAAAAUGCAUCCCCCAGCUACAUGCACAAAGACAAGAACAGUUUCUGCCAUUUUGAAGAUUAAUUUCUACUGAGGAGACUACAACCUGUAAAAGGAAAAUUGAGAUGGAAGGAAAUACCAACAGCUAGUGAGGAGGCUUCAUGAAAUGGGUACCACCUGAGGUGUAAUUUGUAAAAAUCAGCCCUUCUUUUUCCCCAUUGUUUAAUUACUAGCCUCCUAGUUGCCUAGAAGAGUUCAUCUGAUUCCCUAUCCAUUUAACAUUCCCAGAGAGGAGACCUGAGUCCUGGGGAAGAUGGGGCCCAUUAAAUUUGUUAAAACCCACAUGCAGAAAUAUGCACAUGUGCAAAUUUGCAGAUGGUCAAAUGAGUCCUACUCAAGUGUACAGACACAUUUAGAGCUAUCUGGAAUUAUUAGGACUUUUAGCUCUAACUUGAGAUAAGCAGAAUAAACUCUCUACUCAAAUGGGAACUAGUUGUGCUUUUCUAAAUCACCAAGUCAAAGGUCUUGAAGCUAGAUAUUCACAGGUGCUUUCUCAUGGCUUCAUUGUUAGUGUCUGAUGUUUAUGGCAAGUCACAUAAAUAAAAAUGAUGUUUUUAUUUAAAGCUAUAUAUACAUAUAUACUUACACACACAUAUAUAGUUCUUGCCAAAACUGGAGAACCAUUUUGAAACAUUCAAAAUGAAAUGACGUGUCAAAACAAUAAGAAAGUUUAUUAUAAUUAUAAUUAACAUAUAUGCAUAUGUAUAUGCAUAAA